This 65-nucleotide transfer RNA is filed under the name Cymbiodyta marginella. RNAcentral's name for it is "tRNA-His". It matches the Rfam family "tRNA". Rfam says of the family: Transfer RNA (tRNA) molecules are approximately 80 nucleotides in length. Lineage: Eukaryota; Metazoa; Arthropoda; Insecta; Coleoptera; Hydrophilidae. The record is from RNAcentral.
AUUUAAGUAGUUUAAUAUAAAAUAUUGAUUUGUGGUGUCAUUGAUAUAGGGUCCUAUCUUAAAUA